GGCACGGGGAGCGGGAGCGGCGGGACCGGGAGCAUCCUUCGCUCCCUCCAUCCCUCCCUCCCCGCACGCGCAGGGAUGCUCCCGCCAGGCUGGCACAGACGCGCGCACAACUUUUUGCUGGCUAACGCGGCUGGAGCUGAAGCUCCUUUCGCCUUCCCCAGGCUGAUGCUGCUCCCGUGUCGUGAGCAACAAACUGCAGCGGGUUGUUUUAUUGAUCCCAGACAGGAAUGACUUGCUCUCUAAACUACAACUUAAAGGAUGCUGCUUGCAUAACAAGUUCGAGCAGGAGGUUUUGGGGGCUCCAGGCCCCGCCCCCGGGGACCCACUGGCCCCGCCCCCCAUCCUGCGACCAAUCAUCGCCACCAACACCUACCAGCAGGUCAGCAGCGACAUCCUUGGAGGAACCUCAGGAUUGCUCCCUGCAGUGAUCCCUGCUCCGCCCUUGGAAUACAGAGCAAAAACCCAGGGAAUGCUCCGUGCCUGCAGCUCUCCCGCUCUGGGCUGUGCCUCCUCCACACAGCUUCUCCUGGGAAGUUCUCUGCAGCCCAGCACAGGAGGAUCCAGCUCUGCUCGCGGCCCUCUGCUCCUGGAGUCGUCGAGGAGCAGCUGCAACAAUUCCCCGAGUCCCA
This is a long non-coding RNA of Pseudopipra pipra, 629 nucleotides long. RefSeq lists it as uncharacterized. The record is from RefSeq and is a predicted model, not a curated record. NCBI's taxonomy places the organism in Eukaryota, Metazoa, Chordata, Aves, Passeriformes, Pipridae. The transcript is spliced from 3 exons.